UAGAAUAUACAGUUUAUGAAUUUAUUUACAAUAAAUUUAAUUUUGUGCAAUUCAAAAUAUUCU
RNAcentral lists this transfer RNA (63 nucleotides) under China mantispoides. RNAcentral describes it as "tRNA-Val". The record is from RNAcentral. Lineage: Eukaryota; Metazoa; Arthropoda; Insecta; Orthoptera; Chorotypidae.